This 936-nucleotide ribosomal RNA is filed under the name Hebeloma vinosophyllum. Its description in RNAcentral is "LSU rRNA". It matches the Rfam family "Eukaryotic large subunit ribosomal RNA", at positions 40 to 961 of the family's 3401-position model. Lineage: Eukaryota; Fungi; Basidiomycota; Agaricomycetes; Agaricales; Hymenogastraceae. The record is from RNAcentral.
AUAUCAAUAAGCGGAGGAAAAGAAACUAACAAGGAUUCCCCUAGUAACUGCGAGUGAAGCGGGAAAAGCUCAAAUUUAAAAUCUGGCGGUCUCCGGCCGUCCGAGUUGUAAUCUAGAGAAGUGUUAUCUGCGCUGGACCGUGUACAAGUCUCCUGGAAUGGAGCAUCAUAGAGGGUGAGAAUCCCGUCUUUGACACGGACUGCCAGGGCUUUGUGAUGCGCUCUCAAAGAGUCGAGUUGUUUGGGAAUGCAGCUCAAAAUGGGUGGUAAAUUCCAUCUAAAGCUAAAUAUUGGCGAGAGACCGAUAGCGAACAAGUACCGUGAGGGAAAGAUGAAAAGAACUUUGGAAAGAGAGUUAAACAGUACGUGAAAUUGCUGAAAGGGAAACGCUUGAAGUCAGUCGCGUUGGCCGGGGAUCAACCUUGCUUUUGCUGGGCGUACUUUCCGGUCGACGGGUCAGCAUCAAUUUUGACCGUUGGAUAAAGUCCAGGGGAAUGUGGCAUCUUCGGAUGUGUUAUAGCCCUUGGUCGCAUACAAUGGUUGGGAUUGAGGAACUCAGCACGCCGCAAGGCCGGGUACUUGUACCACGUUCGUGCUUAGGAUGCUGGCAUAAUGGCUUUAAUCGACCCGUCUUGAAACACGGACCAAGGAGUCUAACAUGCCUGCGAGUGUUUGGGUGGAAAACUCGGACGCGUAAUGAAAGUGAAAGUUGAGAUCCCUGUCGCGGGGAGCAUCGACGCCCGGACCAGACCUUUUGUGACGGAUCCGCGGUAGAGCAUGUAUGUUGGGACCCGAAAGAUGGUGAACUAUGCCUGAAUAGGGUGAAGCCAGAGGAAACUCUGGUGGAGGCUCGUAGCGAUUCUGACGUGCAAAUCGAUCGUCAAAUUUGGGUAUAGGGGCGAAAGACUAAUCGAACCAUCUAGUAGCUGGUUCCUGC